GCGUGCCUAUACAUGCAGUCGAACGAACUCUGGUAUUGAUUGGUGCUUGCAUCAUGAUUUACAUUUGAGUGAGUGGCGAACUGGUGAGUAACACGUGGGAAACCUGCCCAGAAGCGGGGGAUAACACCUGGAAACAGAUGCUAAUACCGCAUAACAACUUGGACCGCAUGGUCCGAGUUUGAAAGAUGGCUUCGGCUAUCACUUUUGGAUGGUCCCGCGGCGUAUUAGCUAGAUGGUGGGGUAACGGCUCACCAUGGCAAUGAUACGUAGCCGACCUGAGAGGGUAAUCGGCCACAUUGGGACUGAGACACGGCCCAAACUCCUACGGGAGGCAGCAGUAGGGAAUCUUCCACAAUGGACGAAAGUCUGAUGGAGCAACGCCGCGUGAGUGAAGAAGGGUUUCGGCUCGUAAAACUCUGUUGUUAAAGAAGAACAUAUCUGAGAGUAACUGUUCAGGUAUUGACGGUAUUUAACCAGAAAGCCACGGCUAACUACGUGCCAGCAGCCGCGGUAAUACGUAGGUGGCAAGCGUUGUCCGGAUUUAUUGGGCGUAAAGCGAGCGCAGGCGGUUUUUUAAGUCUGAUGUGAAAGCCUUCGGCUCAACCGAAGAAGUGCAUCGGAAACUGGGAAACUUGAGUGCAGAAGAGGACAGUGGAACUCCAUGUGUAGCGGUGAAAUGCGUAGAUAUAUGGAAGAACACCAGUGGCGAAGGCGGCUGUCUGGUCUGUAACUGACGCUGAGGCUCGAAAGUAUGGGUAGCAAACAGGAUUAGAUACCCUGGUAGUCCAUACCGUAAACGAUGAAUGCUAAGUGUUGGAAGGGUUUCCGCCCUUCAGUGCUGCAGCUAACGCAUUAAGCAUUCCGCCUGGGGGAGUACGGCCGCAAGGCUGAAACUCAAAGGAAUUGACGGGGGCCCGCACAAGCGGUGGAGCAUGUGGUUUAAUUCGAAGCUACGCGAAGAACCUUACCAGGUCUUGACAUACUAUGCAAAUCUAAGAGAUUAGACGUUCCCUUCGGGGACAUGGAUACAGGUGGGGGCUGGGUUGUCGUCAGCUCCUGUCCUGAGAAGUUUGGGGUUAAGUCCCCGCACCAAGCGCAACCCUUAUUAUCAUUUGCCACCAUUAAAUUGGGCACUCUGGUGAGACUGCCGGUGACAACCCGAGGAAGAGGGGGGGAUGAAAACCAAAACAAAAAUGCCCCCUUAUAACCUGGGGGGAACACCCUGGUU
Molecule: ribosomal RNA, 1228 nt
Filed under: Lactiplantibacillus pentosus
Lineage: Bacteria; Bacillati; Bacillota; Bacilli; Lactobacillales; Lactobacillaceae
Description: bacterial SSU rRNA
Rfam family: Bacterial small subunit ribosomal RNA
Source: RNAcentral